Long non-coding RNA from Homo sapiens (human), 392 nucleotides. The record is from Ensembl. NCBI's taxonomy places the organism in Eukaryota, Metazoa, Chordata, Mammalia, Primates, Hominidae.
GUGGGACUUGCUCAGGGACUCACUGCUGGCCUUGGGGAGCAGAGAACUCAGGUCUUUGUGAUUCCGAAGUCCAGGUUCUUCCACCUGCAACUGCAGUUUCCAGAAUUGGUCCCACCCCAGGAGGAUCAGCCAGCAGUGGCUAUAACAAGACCAAAGGCUUGAGGUGCACUUCCACAGUGGAGCUGUCUUCUUGGCUUCUGCUGUGAGAAGAUUGUCCCCCUGAAUGGCUGCCGGCCCUUCAGCCUCGCCCCGCCAAGAGACACAUGGAACAGCCAGAGCCCAGCCUAGAGCCUGUAUCCCAGCCUAGCCUGAGGCAGAGCCACCCAGCCAAGACCAACUGACCUUCAGCUAACCUGCAGAUGCAUCAGGGGGAAUUAAAUGAUUGUUCUAAA